This 433-nucleotide ribosomal RNA is filed under the name uncultured bacterium. Its description in RNAcentral is "partial 16S ribosomal RNA". It matches the Rfam family "Bacterial small subunit ribosomal RNA", at positions 29 to 507 of the family's 1533-position model. The record is from RNAcentral.
AACGAACGCUGGCGGCAUGCCUAACACAUGCAAGUCGAACGAGACCUUCGUGUCUAUUGGCGCACGGGUGCGUAACGCGUGGUAACCUGCCCUUAGGUUCGGAAUAACUCCCCGUAAGGUGUGCUAAUACCGGUUAAUCUCUUCGGCCCAAAGAUUUAUCGCCUUUGGAUGGGCCCGCGUUGGAUUAGCUUGUUGGUAGUGUAAAAGCCUACCAAGGCGACGAUCCAUAGCUGGUCUGAGAGGAUGAUCAGCCACACUGGGACUGAGACACGGCCCAGACUCCUACGGGAGGCAGCAGUGGGGAAUAUUGGACAAUGGGCGAAAGCGUGAUCCAGCAAUGCCGCGUGAGUGAUGAAGGCCUUAGGGUUGUAAAGCUCUUUUACCCGGGAUGAUAAUGACAGUACCGGGAGAAUAAGCUCCGGCUAACUACGUG